UGUAAAUGAAGUUAAAGAUGUAGUUGAAGGUGCCUUCGAUGAUGAUGACUUAACACCAACAAUAACACUGAUGCA
RNAcentral lists this small nucleolar RNA (75 nucleotides) under Tetranychus urticae (two-spotted spider mite). RNAcentral's name for it is "snoRNA tetur09g06710". Lineage: Eukaryota; Metazoa; Arthropoda; Arachnida; Trombidiformes; Tetranychidae. The record is from RNAcentral.